This 772-nucleotide ribosomal RNA is filed under the name uncultured bacterium. RNAcentral describes it as "bacterial SSU rRNA". It matches the Rfam family "Bacterial small subunit ribosomal RNA", at positions 97 to 896 of the family's 1533-position model. The record is from RNAcentral.
AGCGCGACGGUGAGUACGCGUGGGUAACUUCCCUGUACACCCGAUAACAUCCGAAAGGUAUGCUAUACGGGAUAACAUAAUAAAUCGCAUGGUUUUGUAUCAAAGCUGAGGCGGUACAGGAUGGACCCGCGUCUGAUUAGCUAGUUGGUAAGGUAAAGGCUUACCAAGGCGACGAUCAGUAGCCGACCUGAGAGGGUGAUCGGCCACAUUGGAACUGAGACACGGUCCAAACUCCUACGGGAGGCAGCAGUGGGGAAUAUUGCACAAUGGGCGAAAGCCUGAUGCAGCAACGCCGCGUGAGCGAUGAAGGCCUUCGGGUCGUAAAGCUCUGUCCUCAAGGAAGAUAAUGACGGUACUUGAGGAGGAAGCCCCGGCUAACUACGUGCCAGCAGCCGCGGUAAUACGUAGGGGGCUAGCGUUAUCCGGAAUUACUGGGCGUAAAGGGUGCGUAGGCGGUCUUUCAAGUCAGGAGUGAAAGGCUACGGCUCAACCGUAGUAAGCUCUUGAAACUGUAAGACUUGAGUGCAGGAGAGGAGAGUGGAAUUCCUAGUGUAGCGGUGAAAUGCGUAGAUAUUAGGAGGAACACCAGUUGCGAAGGCGGCUCUCUGGACUGUAACUGACGCUGAGGCACGAAAGCGUGGGGAGCAAACAGGAUUAGAUACCCUGGUAGUCCACGCCGUAAACGAUGAGUACUAGCUGUCGGAGGUUACCCCCUUCGGUGGCGCAGCUAACGCAUUAAGUACUCCGCCUGGGAAGUACGCUCGCAAGAGUG